GCGGCAAUAGCUCAGUGGUAGAGCCCCACUUUUCGUGCGGGGAGAUCCGGGUUCGAUUCCCGGCUGCUUCC
Molecule: transfer RNA, 71 nt
Organism: Toxocara canis (dog roundworm)
Lineage: Eukaryota; Metazoa; Nematoda; Chromadorea; Rhabditida; Toxocaridae
Rfam family: tRNA
About the family: Transfer RNA (tRNA) molecules are approximately 80 nucleotides in length. Their secondary structure includes four short double-helical elements and three loops (D, anti-codon, and T loops).
Source: Rfam